RNAcentral lists this ribosomal RNA (343 nucleotides) under Aureobasidium pullulans. Its description in RNAcentral is "partial large subunit ribosomal RNA". It matches the Rfam family "Eukaryotic large subunit ribosomal RNA", at positions 292 to 650 of the family's 3401-position model. The record is from RNAcentral. Lineage: Eukaryota; Fungi; Ascomycota; Dothideomycetes; Dothideales; Saccotheciaceae.
AUGGGAGGUAAAUUUCUUCUAAAGCUAAAUAUUGGCGAGAGACCGAUAGCGCACAAGUAGAGUGAUCGAAAGAUGAAAAGCACUUUGGAAAGAGAGUUAAAAAGCACGUGAAAUUGUUGAAAGGGAAGCGCUUGCAAUCAGACUUGUUUAAACUGUUCGGCCGGUCUUCUGACCGGUUUACUCAGUUUGGACAGGCCAGCAUCAGUUUCGGCGGCCGGAUAAAGGCUCUGGGAAUGUGGCCUUCACUUCGGUGAAGGUGUUAUAGCCCAGGGUGUAAUACGGCCAGCCGGGACUGAGGUCCGCGCUUCGGCUAGGAUGCUGGCGUAAUGGUUGUAAGCGACCC